GGAGGGGUGGCCGAGAGGCUGAAGGCGGCGGUUUGCUAAACCGUUGUACGAUGUCAAGUCGUACCGUGGGUUCGAAUCCCAUCCCCUCCG
Molecule: transfer RNA, 90 nt
Filed under: Asaia siamensis NRIC 0323
Lineage: Bacteria; Pseudomonadati; Pseudomonadota; Alphaproteobacteria; Acetobacterales; Acetobacteraceae
Also listed under: 1 other name
Description: tRNA-Ser
Rfam family: tRNA
About the family: Transfer RNA (tRNA) molecules are approximately 80 nucleotides in length. Their secondary structure includes four short double-helical elements and three loops (D, anti-codon, and T loops).
Source: RNAcentral